Oncorhynchus tshawytscha (Chinook salmon) is the source of this 2770-nucleotide long non-coding RNA. RefSeq lists it as uncharacterized. Lineage: Eukaryota; Metazoa; Chordata; Actinopteri; Salmoniformes; Salmonidae. The record is from RefSeq and is a predicted model, not a curated record. The transcript is spliced from 3 exons.
GCAAUGGGUGUGGCUGAAAUAGCCAAAUACACUAAUUUGAAGGGGUGUCCAUAUACUUUUGUGCAUAUGUAGUAUACCAUUCUGACCUUGGGAGGCCCAGGUUGUAAGUUACAGCUCUAACACGAACACCAACACUAGUUUAAAAACACCAUUUAUUCCUAUCCUCACAUCACCUCAUUGUCUGACAUAGGUUCAUGCAUGCCAAUUCCUCCCUGCAAUAAGGCCCUCUUCACUAGCAUCUUAGUGUGAGACUGCAGUUGCUAUAGGGAAGGUGCGUCUUUCUACAUACCACGUCCUCUCUAUCACGGGGGCACGUGUGUAUCCAUGAAUCAUUAUUACUAAUGACUAUUUACCAUAGUCAAAAGCUUGCAUGCUCUUUCUGUCUAUGGGACACAGAAUAUUCAGCAAAGAGACCACAGGAUACAACUAAAACUGUAGGUUUCUUCCAUAUUAGAGACCUUUUGGUUGCUAAAUAAUUUGAUGACUCAAAUAAAACCAAUGCUUAAAAUCUGAGAGACCGACCAGACUCUGUAGAGCUUGUGAUCAAGGACAGUCAAAUCAAUUAUUCAUGUGGUUUUAUAUUUUGAAUGCUGGUUAGGGAAAGUUGUACAACUGAUUGCCUUCAACCGAGAUGUGUUUUCCACAUAUAACCCAACCCCUCUGAAUCAGAGGGGUGGGUUAACUGCCUUGCUCAGCAGCAGAACAACAGAUUUUUACCUUGUCAGCUCAGGGAUUCGAUCCAGCAACCUUUCAGUUACUGGCCAAAUUCUCUAACCACUAGGCUACCUGCCGCCCCUAGGUUACUUCCUGAUUGGUCCAGAUCCCAGACACAUAUAAACUCUAUUUCAACAAUUUCAACGUCACCAUCUGUGUUUACAGGUUCUUAAUUUUAAUUUACCACUGGAUAUAAGGGGAAGUGAAUAAUGCCACUGAAGGCUAUUUCGUCCCCUGUGCCUUCCCCCAGUCUGCUGCUUCUCCCAGCUGGAACCACAUUGCUUUCAUUUGUGCACCUCUUUGCUCCUCAAUUCAUGCACCUUGGUUGGAGAGCCAUGCAACUCUGAAUAGUUGACUGAACCACACUCGACUGUGUCCUCCCAGGGAUGAUCGUCGUGGGAGUGAUCAUCGGCUCCAAGAGGAUAGGCAUCAACUCAGACAAUGUGGCCACUCCCACCGCUGCCAGCUUCGGUGACCUCAUCACCCUGGCCUGCCUCCCCUUGAGAGGGGCAGUGAGAAAGAGAGAGAGUUUUAGGUCACUAGGGGGCAGUCUGGCCCAUUUACUGGAGAGUCAUAGCUACAUUUAUGGCUCUGACACUAGUCUGUCUGGCUAUCAACUGUGUUUAUUUAGCAAGUAUGUCUGCUCCUCUCUGUCUCCACAGAGUAUUAUCCCUAUGUGGCGUACCUGGGGUGUCUGAUCUGCCUCUGCCUGACCCAUCUGUGGGUGGUCGUCUCCUUCAGAAACCCAGACAGUUGCAUCCUACUCUACACAGGCUGGGAACCAAUCAUCACUGCCAUGGUCAUCAGCAGGUCUGCUACCCUGUUCCGUGCCCCUGAAGUCCAGUCACAGCAUUGGAAUCUUGUGAACUUCAUGGAAAUACUUAUUAUAAUUAUAAUUUGUUUCCUCUCUAGUAUCAGAGGAUACUAGAUCGGAACAUCGGAGCAUCCUGAACACAACUGUAUAAGACCCGAGCAUGGCGGGAAUGAUAGUCUACACGCCAGUUAUGAAUAGUUGUUGGGGGGAACUUGGUUGCCAACUGGUCCAGUCGUAUCACCACUGAUCUGCAGGCAGGUGCCUGAGGAUCGAAGGAGCUGCUACAACCCCUGCAGGACCUUUUGUGGCUCAGGUAAUGACACACACAUGACCAAUCCCUUUAACAUGCAUGUGAACACAAAAUUAAUUAAAUCUUCUGUUGUCAGUGUAUUUUACCUGUCAGUUUAACUAUCUAUACCUCUCUGACAAGAGCCAAUCAUCGCUCUGCCCAGGUGCUGCUCCUGUCUAUCACCUUCUUAGCUGCAGCUUUUCUACAGGUCUUCACUCUGCUGUGUCUUGCUGACCGGAUGGUCCAUUGCCUGUGGUGGACGGGCAAGGACCCAGACAGUUACUCCAUCCCCUACCUCACCGCUCUGGGGAUCUAUUGGGCACGGCCCCCCUCGCUCUGGCCUUCUUCCUGUUCUGGCUCAUAGGGGAGCAGGUUCCCACUGGAGACUGACACCCUGGGUGCUUCAUCUUAUACUAUUCUCCUUUGAUUCUGCCUGGGUAAAAGUAGGCACGAAACGUAGCAAUGCCUUCAAAUUAUGUAGGCAACUCCACACACAGUUGAGAAAUUCUAAACAUUCCCUUUACAAGUCAAAUGUUUAAUACAUUUAUUUGAAUUUAUUCAGACGAUUGCUUUGUGGUGUUGGUCCUUCUGUUGGUUGAAAUUUGAGACAAUAUCCACAGGAGAGUGUUAUUAAUCUGACUUCAUAAUGCGGUUCUCUGCCAUUAACAAUCAAGAUUUGUUUGCUCGUGCACAUGAUGAAAGUAACCGAAGUCUGCAGGUGUUUACAUGGUUUUUCACAUGUGCCAGGUUAUAUACAUUUAAACGGCAGUACAGGCGCUCUAAAAAGUCAGAUAAACAAUACUUUUUUGUGGAGAUUUUGUCUCUUUGUUUCGACUGGCUGAAGGACCAACUGCACAGACAACUGGUAAAGUGCAAAUACUGAACAAAAAUAUAAACGCAACAUACAAUGCAAAUGUAAAAGAUUUUACUGAGUUAGUUCAUAUAAGAUAAUA